UGCACCAAACCUGCUGCCCGAAUGAGAAGGAUAACAAGCAAACGUGACCAUAGGGAUUGGACAAGAUCCACUCAACUAAGUAAAGAGAAACAACAGUCCAUCAUUACUUUAAGACAUGAAGGCCUAUUUUGCCAGAUGAAAAUAUAACCUAGCUGUGGGAAAGGAGUCAGAUUUGUAAUCAUACAGUUCUACUGGAUGUGCAGAACUUGCUGAAGGCAACAGCAGUCACUGAGAAGUCUAAUUCCCAGCGGUGGAACCGGAAAGAUGUUUUUAAAAUUGCUUUAUUUGCUUUAGGAAUUCAAAUGGCAAGGUUGUGACCUUGUGUUUUUUAGUGCAGCACCAACCCUAAGGCCUAAACCUCUUCACAGACCGUUAUUUUAAAUGCAUCAGCAACCUUACACUUGCCCUUGACAUUUAUCAUAAACAUCUAUCAAUGUAUUACAUAGAAUCUUAAAGGGGUACUCCGGUGGAAAACUUUUUUUUUUUUUUUAA
Long non-coding RNA from Hyla sarda, 492 nucleotides. RefSeq lists it as uncharacterized. The record is from RefSeq and is a predicted model, not a curated record. NCBI's taxonomy places the organism in Eukaryota, Metazoa, Chordata, Amphibia, Anura, Hylidae. The transcript is spliced from 3 exons.